RNAcentral lists this ribosomal RNA (497 nucleotides) under uncultured bacterium. RNAcentral's name for it is "partial 16S ribosomal RNA". It matches the Rfam family "Bacterial small subunit ribosomal RNA", at positions 28 to 507 of the family's 1533-position model. The record is from RNAcentral.
GAUGAACGCUGGCGGCGUGCCUAAUACAUGCAAGUCGAGCGAACGGACGAGAAGCUUGCUUCUCUGAUGUUAGCGGCGGACGGGUGAGUAACACGUGGAUAACCUACCUAUACGACUGGGAUAACUUCGGGAAACCGGCGCUAAUACCGGAUGAUAUUUUGAACCGCAUGGUUCUGAAGUGAAAGACGGUCUUGCUGUCACUUAUCGAUGGAUCCGCGCUGCUUUAGCUGGUUGGUAAGGUAACGGCUUACCAAGGCGACGAUUCAUAGCCGACGGGAGAGGGUGGUCGCCGCCCCGGGAAGGGGGCCGCCGCCCAGACUACUACGAGACGGACCAGUAGGGAACGGUACGCAGCAGUCGAAAACCUUACACAACAAGCGGAAGUGUGUGGUGACGGCGCCCGGAGCGUAAUACUCGCUUAUGAGUUGAGAACAUAUUUGUAAGUAAAUGUACACAUCGUGACGGUACCUGAUCAAAAAGCCGCGGCUAACUACGUG